RNAcentral lists this ribosomal RNA (253 nucleotides) under uncultured bacterium. RNAcentral's name for it is "partial 16S ribosomal RNA". It matches the Rfam family "Bacterial small subunit ribosomal RNA", at positions 524 to 776 of the family's 1533-position model. The record is from RNAcentral.
UACGUGGGGGGCAAGCGUUGUCCGGAAUCAUUGGGCGUAAAGCGCGUGUAGGCGGCCAGGUAGGUCCGCUGUGAAAACUCGAGGCUUAACCUCGAGCUGUCGGCGGAAACCAUCUGGCUAGAGUCCGGAAGAGGAGAAUGGAAUUCCCGGUGUAGCGGUGAAAUGCGCAGAUAUCGGGAAGAACACCCGUGGCGAAGGCGGUUCUCUGGGACGGUACUGACGCUGAGACGCGAAAGCGUGGGGAGCGAACAGG